AGAGAACUGACAGAUCCCUUAAUUUUGGUUCCACAGAAUCAUCCUGAUGUUGCAAGCAAAUUGGCUACUUGUCCCUUCAAUGCUCGCCACCAGGUUCCUCGAGCUGAAAUUAGUCAUCAUAUCUCAAGCUGUGAUGACAGAAGUUGUAUUGAGCAAGAUGUUGUCAACCAAACCAGGAGCCUUAGACAAGAGACUCUGGCUGAGAGCACUUGGCAGUGCCCUCCUUGCGAUGAAGACUGGGAUAAAGAUUUGUGGGAGCAGACCAGCACCCCAUUUGUCUGGGGCACAACUCACUACUCUGACAACAACAGCCCUGCAAGCAACAUAGUUACAGAACAUAAGAAUAACCUGGCUUCAGGCAUGCGAGUUCCCAAAUCUCUGCCGUAUGUUCUGCCAUGGAAAAACAAUGGAAAUGCACAGUAACUGAAUACCUAUCUCAUCAAAUGCCAGACCCUAGA
This 458-nucleotide small RNA is filed under the name Pan troglodytes (chimpanzee). Its description in RNAcentral is "retained intron". The record is from RNAcentral. Lineage: Eukaryota; Metazoa; Chordata; Mammalia; Primates; Hominidae.